Long non-coding RNA from Poeciliopsis prolifica (blackstripe livebearer), 1181 nucleotides. RefSeq lists it as uncharacterized. Lineage: Eukaryota; Metazoa; Chordata; Actinopteri; Cyprinodontiformes; Poeciliidae. The record is from RefSeq and is a predicted model, not a curated record. The transcript is spliced from 4 exons.
AGGGACUUGACUGACUGAAACUUCAUCCUGUUGUCCAGGUGCAGCCGCUUCAACUGAUCACCACCGCGGUGGAGCCUGGGCGGCCCACGGUUAGAGCAUGUUCAUCAUCUGAAUGAGCAGAAGUGUUCUUAAUAGGGGGGGGAAAUAGAACAAAAAAUUCAAACAACAAGUUAAGAUUCUGGAAACACCUUUUUGUAUAAUCACGAGCGUCAGAUGAGCGUCGUGGGACUUCAAAACAGCAGGAGGCCAGUCCGCCGGCCCUUUGUUGCUAAUGACAGGGCAGAGACUUCAACGAUCUGGUCUUCCUAUGCGGGGCUGCUCUGCAUUCUUCCCAUCAAACCCAAAAACUUCCUGUGACGAAGCUUCCAGCGUCGGCCGUGACCCUGUGGAACGCUCUCCAUCUGAAAUGCCUCAUCCCUGGGGAGUUGGGAAAAGAAAACGGCUGCAUUACUCCGACGUCAGCGGUCAGAAACAUUUAUCCUGACAUGGCUUUUCCUCCCAGUUGAGACUUUUAUUUUGAGUCACUUAUCUGCUUUUAUUCCGCCUUUUCUGAAAUUCAAGUCUCAAACCUGUGAAUUCUUCGCACGACUGAGAAGUAAAGGCAAAAGUAUGUGUUUCCCAAAUGUCUUUGUCAGGAAGGUGAAAAGUUCCUGUUGAAAACAAAUUGGAACUCAGUCAACAGAAAGGGAGGAAAAUGUAAAAUAAUGUAAUUUAAUUUCCAAUUUUAGUUGCUUUAGCUGAAAAGCCUUUCAUUUUCUGCACUUGAGAAAUGCACAAAUCUGUUUAAUGGUAGAUUUGAAACUCAACUGUAUGUGCAACUUUGUGUCGUUGUCAGAAGGUGUGAAUCCUUUGGUGCGCAAGUAAUUGUAAAUAUUUUUCAUGUUACUGAAGAUGUUUCUCAUAUUCACACCUACAUUUAUGUGGAAUUAGUUAUUUACAACAAUGUUCAAUAAAUUUGAAUCUGAAUUAAGUAAAUGAGGCUUUUUCAUCUGAUUAAAAGUAUGUUUUGAAAAUAACAACCAUGUGGAUUUUCAACGUAGUUUUCAUUAAGCCUUCAUUUCUGAAUUAAAAAUAUACAUCUUUUAAAUGAAAAAUAAUCAUAGUUGACAGAAAAAGACGCUUGAAAACAUCAGUUUGUGUGUGAGUGGAGUUACUGAAUUAAUUAGCAUUUUUUUUUAAAA